This 498-nucleotide ribosomal RNA is filed under the name uncultured bacterium. Its description in RNAcentral is "partial 16S ribosomal RNA". It matches the Rfam family "Bacterial small subunit ribosomal RNA", at positions 30 to 523 of the family's 1533-position model. The record is from RNAcentral.
AUUGAACGCUGGCGGCAUGCCUUACACAUGCAAGUCGAACGGUAACAGGUCUUCGGAUGCUGACGAGUGGCGAACGGGUGAGUAAUACAUCGGAACGUGCCUAGUAGGGGGGGAUAACUACUCGAAAGAGUGGCUAAUACCGCAUGAGCGCUACGGAGGAAAGCAGGGGAUCGCAAGACCUUGUGCUACUAGAGCGGCCGAUGGCAGAUUAGGUAGUUGGUGGGAUAAAAGCCUACCAAGCCGACGAUCUGUAGCUGGUCUGAGAGGACGAUCAGCCACACUGGGACUGAGAAACGGCCCAGACUCCUACGGGAGGCAGCAGUGGGGAAUUUUGGACAAUGGGCGCAAGCCUGAUCCAGCAAUGCCGCGUGCAGGAUGAAGGCCUUCGGGUUGUAAACUGCUUUUGUACGGAACGAAAAGCCCCGGGUUAAUACCCUGGGGUCAUGACGGUACCGUAAGAAUAAGCACCGGCUAACUACGUGCCAGCCGCCGCGGUAA